RNAcentral lists this ribosomal RNA (253 nucleotides) under uncultured bacterium. Its description in RNAcentral is "partial 16S ribosomal RNA". It matches the Rfam family "Bacterial small subunit ribosomal RNA", at positions 524 to 776 of the family's 1533-position model. The record is from RNAcentral.
UACGGAGGGUGCAAGCGUUGUUCGGAAUCACUGGGCGUAAAGAGCGUGUAGGCGGCGAGGUAAGUCGGAUGUGAAAGCCCCGGGCUCAACUCGGGAAUUGCAUCCGAAACUUCCUUGCUAGAGUCCCGGAGAGGAAGGCAGAAUUCCCAAUGUAGGGGUGAAAUCCGUAGAUAUUGGGAGGAAUACCGGUGGCGAAGGCGGCCUUCUGGACGGUGACUGACGCUGAGACGCGAAAGCGUGGGGAGCAAACAGG